GAAUAGACUACCCCGGGUAGUCCACGCCCUAAACGAUGCGAACUGGAUGUUGGGUACAUUACGGUACUCAGUGUCGAAGCUAACGCGUUAAGUUCGCCGCCUGGGGAGUACGGUCGCAAGACUGAAACUCAAAGGAAUUGACGGGGGCCCGCACAAGCGGUGGAGUAUGUGGUUUAAUUCGAUGCAACGCGAAGAACCUUACCUGGCCUUGACAUCUGUCGAAUCCUGCAGAGAUGCGGGAGUGCCGCAAGGAACGACAAGACAGGUGCUGCAUGGCUGUCGUCAGCUCGUGUCGUGAGAUGUUGGGUUAAGUCCCGCAACGAGCGCAACCCUUGUCCCUAGUUGCCAGCACGUAAUGGUGGGAACUCUAGGGAGACUGCCGGUGACAAACCGGAGGAAGGUGGGGAUGACGUCAAGUCCUCAUGGCCCUCACGGCCAGGGCUACACACGUACUACAAUGGUCGGUACAGAGGGUUGCGAAGCCGCGAGGUGGAGCCAAUCCCAGAAAACCGAUCCCAGUCCGGAUCGGAGUCUGCAA
This 538-nucleotide ribosomal RNA is filed under the name uncultured bacterium. RNAcentral describes it as "bacterial SSU rRNA". It matches the Rfam family "Bacterial small subunit ribosomal RNA", at positions 776 to 1310 of the family's 1533-position model. The record is from RNAcentral.